RNAcentral lists this ribosomal RNA (125 nucleotides) under Ipomoea nil (Japanese morning glory). Its description in RNAcentral is "5.8S ribosomal RNA". It matches the Rfam family "5.8S ribosomal RNA". From Rfam's summary of the family: 5.8S ribosomal RNA (5.8S rRNA) is a component of the large subunit of the eukaryotic ribosome. It is transcribed by RNA polymerase I as part of the 45S precursor that also contains 18S and 28S rRNA. Lineage: Eukaryota; Viridiplantae; Streptophyta; Magnoliopsida; Solanales; Convolvulaceae. The record is from Rfam by way of RNAcentral.
GACUCUCGCAACGGAUAUCUCGGCUCUCGCAUCGAUGAAGAACGGCGAAAUAUACUUGCAGAAUCUGAACCAUCGAGCCGCAAGUUGCGCCCGAAGCCGUUAGGCCGAGGUCUGCCUGGGCGUCA